Molecule: ribosomal RNA, 1618 nt
Filed under: Escherichia coli
Lineage: Bacteria; Pseudomonadati; Pseudomonadota; Gammaproteobacteria; Enterobacterales; Enterobacteriaceae
Description: bacterial SSU rRNA
Rfam family: Bacterial small subunit ribosomal RNA
Source: RNAcentral
AAAUUGAAGAGUUUGAUCAUGGCUCAGAUUGAACGCUGGCGGCAGGCCUAACACAUGCAAGUCGAACGGUAACAGGAAGCAGCUUGCUGCUUUGCUGACGAGUGGCGGACGGGUGAGUAAUGUCUGGGAAACUGCCUGAUGGAGGGGAUAACUACUGGAAACGGUAGCUAAUACCGCAUAACGUCGCAAGACCAAAGAGGGGGACCUUCGGGCCUCUUGCCAUCGGAUGUGCCCAGAUGGGAUUAGCUAGUAGGUGGGGGUCGCAAGACCAAAGAGGGGGACCUUCGGGCCUCUUGCCAUCGGAUGUGCCCAGAUGGGAUUAGCUAGUAGGUGGGGUAACGGCUCACCUAGGCGACGAUCCCUAGCUGGUCUGAGAGGAUGACCAGCCACACUGGAACUGAGACACGGUCCAGACUCCUACGGGAGGCAGCAGUGGGGAAUAUUGCACAAUGGGCGCAAGCCUGAUGCAGCCAUGCCGCGUGUAUGAAGAAGGCCUUCGGGUUGUAAAGUACUUUCAGCGGGGAGGAAGGGAGUAAAGUUAAUACCUUUGCUCAUUGACGUUACCCGCAGAAGAAGCACCGGCUAACUCCGUGCCAGCAGCCGCGGUAAUACGGAGGGUGCAAGCGUUAAUCGGAAUUACUGGGCGUAAAGCGCACGCAGGCGGUUUGUUAAGUCAGAUGUGAAAUCCCCGGGCUCAACCUGGGAACUGCAUCUGAUACUGGCAAGCUUGAGUCUCGUAGAGGGGGGUAGAAUUCCAGGUGUAGCGGUGAAAUGCGUAGAGAUCUGGAGGAAUACCGGUGGCGAAGGCGGCCCCCUGGACGAAGACUGACGCUCAGGUGCGAAAGCGUGGGGAGCAAACAGGAUUAGAUACCCUGGUAGUCCACGCCGUAAACGAUGUCGACUUGGAGGUUGUGCCCUUGAGGCGUGGCUUCCGGAGCUAACGCGUUAAGUCGACCGCCUGGGGAGUACGGCCGCAAGGUUAAAACUCAAAUGAAUUGACGGGGGCCCGCACAAGCGGUGGAGCAUGUGGUUUAAUUCGAUGCAACGCGAAGAACCUUACCUGGUCUUGACAUCCACAGAACCUUGUAGAGAUACGAGGGUGCCUUCGGGAACUGUGAGACAGGUGCUGCAUGGCUGUCGUCAGCUCGUGUUGUGAAAUGUUGGGUUAAGUCCCGCAACGAGCGCAACCCUUAUCCUUUGUUGCCAGCGGUCCGGCCGGGAACUCAAAGGAGACUGCCAGUGAUAAACUGGAGGAAGGUGGGGAUGACGUCAAGUCAUCAUGGCCCUUACGACCAGGGCUACACACGUGCUACAAUGGCGCAUACAAAGAGAAGCGACCUCGCGAGAGCAAGCGGACCUCAUAAAGUGCGUCGUAGUCCGGAUUGGAGUCUGCAACUCGACUCCAUGAAGUCGGAAUCGCUAGUAAUCGUGGAUCAGAAUGCCACGGUGAAUACGUUCCCGGGCCUUGUACACACCGCCCGUCACACCAUGGGAGUGGGUUGCAAAAGAAGUAGGUAGCUUAACCUUCGGGAGGGCGCUUACCACUUUGUGAUUCAUGACUGGGGUGAAGUCGUAACAAGGUAACCGUAGGGGAACCUGCGGUUGGAUCACCUCCUUA